GAUGAACGCUGGCGGCGUGCCUAAUACAUGCAAGUCGAGCGGACCAAAGAGAGCUUGCUCUCUGAGGUUAGCGGCGGACGGGUGAGUAACACGUGGGUAACCUGCCUGUAAGACGGGGAUAACUUCGGGAAACCGAAGCUAAUACCGGAUGAUAAAGAGAAACGCCUGUUUCUUUUUUGAAGGUCGGCCUUGUGCUGACGCUUACAGAUGGGCCCGCGGCGCAUUAGCUAGUUGGUGAGGUAACGGCUCACCAAGGCAACGAUGCGUAGCCGACCUGAGAGGGUGAUCGGCCACACUGGGACUGAGACACGGCCCAGACUCCUACGGGAGGCAGCAGUAGGGAGUCUUCGGCAAUGGACGAAAGUCUGACCGAGCAACGCCGCGUGAGCGAUGAAGGCCUUCGGGUCGUAAAGCUCUGUUGUCAGAGAAGAACAAGUACCGGAGUAACUGCCGGUACCUUGACGGUACCUGACCAGAAAGCCACGGCUAACUACGUGCCAGCCGCCGCCGUAA
This 513-nucleotide ribosomal RNA is filed under the name uncultured bacterium. Its description in RNAcentral is "partial 16S ribosomal RNA". It matches the Rfam family "Bacterial small subunit ribosomal RNA", at positions 28 to 523 of the family's 1533-position model. The record is from RNAcentral.